AACGAACGUUAGCGGCGCGCCUAACACAUGCAAGUCGCACGAGAAAGGGCUUCGGCCCCGGUAAAGUGGCGCACGGGUGAGUAACACGUGGGUAACCUGCCCUCGAGCGGGGGAUAACAUUCCGAAAGGAGUGCUAAUACCGCAUAAGACCACGACCUCGAAAGAGGUUGAGGUCAAAGCUGGCCUCUAUACAUAAGCUAGCACUUGAGGAUGGGCCCGCGGAGCAUCAGCUAGUUGGUGAGGUAAUGGCUCACCAAGGCUAAGACGCUUAGCUGGUCUGAGAGGAUGAUCAGCCACACUGGAACUGAGACACGGUCCAGACUCCUACGGGAGGCAGCAGUGGGGAAUCUUGCGCAAUGGGCGAAAGCCUGACGCAGCGACGCCGCGUGAGUGAUGAAGGCCUCGGGUUGUAAGCUCUGUGGGGCGGAGACGAAUAAGUAGCAGCCUAAUACGUUGUCAUGAUGACGGUA
RNAcentral lists this ribosomal RNA (470 nucleotides) under uncultured bacterium. RNAcentral describes it as "bacterial SSU rRNA". It matches the Rfam family "Bacterial small subunit ribosomal RNA", at positions 29 to 477 of the family's 1533-position model. The record is from RNAcentral.